Molecule: ribosomal RNA, 253 nt
Filed under: uncultured bacterium
Lineage: Bacteria
Description: partial 16S ribosomal RNA
Rfam family: Bacterial small subunit ribosomal RNA
Source: RNAcentral
GACAGAGGGUGCGAGCGUUGUCCGGAAUUACUGGGCGUAAAGCGUGCGCAGGCGGUGAUGUAAGACAGAUGUGAAAUCCCCGGGCUCAACCUGGGAACUGCAUUUGUGACUGCAUCGCUGGAGUGCGGCAGAGGGGGAUGGAAUUCCGCGUGUAGCAGUGAAAUGCGUAGAUAUGCGGAGGAACACCGAUGGCGAAGGCAAUCCCCUGGGCCUGCACUGACGCUCAUGCACGAAAGCGUGGGGAGCAAACAGG